This 609-nucleotide ribosomal RNA is filed under the name uncultured bacterium. Its description in RNAcentral is "bacterial SSU rRNA". It matches the Rfam family "Bacterial small subunit ribosomal RNA", at positions 338 to 951 of the family's 1533-position model. The record is from RNAcentral.
CCUACGGGAGGCAGCAGUAAGGAAUAUUGGUCAAUGGACGAAAGUCUGAACCAGCCAUGCCGCGUGAAGGAUGAAGGUCCUCUGGAUUGUAAACUUCUUUUAUCUGGGACGAAAAAGGGCUUUCUAGCUCACUUGACGGUACCAGAGGAAUAAGCACCGGCUAACUCCGUGCCAGCAGCCGCGGUAAUACGGAGGGUGCAAGCGUUAUCCGGAUUUACUGGGUUUAAAGGGAGCGUAGGUGGGCAGGUAAGUCAGUGGUGAAAUCUCUGGGCUUAACCCGGAAACUGCCAUUGAUACUAUCUGUCUUGAAUAUCCUGGAGGUAAGCGGAAUAUGUCAUGUAGCGGUGAAAUGCUUAGAUAUGACAUAGAACACCCAUUGCGAAGGCAGCUUACUACGGGAUUAUUGACACUGAGGCUCGAAAGCGUGGGGAUCAAACAGGAUUAGAUACCCUGGUAGUCCACGCCCUAAACGAUGGAUACUCGACAUCAGCGAUACACUGUUGGUGUCUGAGCGAAAGCAUUAAGUAUCCCACCUGGAAGUACGACCGCAAGGUUGAAACUCAAAGGAAUUGACGGCNGAGAGAGACGAGACGACGACGAGGGAGGAGG